UUCCCCUUCCUCAUCCUCACGCCGCUCGCUCCCCCCGACUCCCCCUCUCCCCGACCGCUUGCUUCCUUCCCCUUUCUCCCGCCCCUCUCCACCAAACCCUCAGGCCGUCUCCCUCCCUCCGCCUCCCCACUCACCAUCUCCCCGUGGUGUCCUCCGCGGCUCCUUCGGGCGCGGUGGCGUCGGCGACGGAGCGCCCUCGCUUCCUAGAGCGGUGCGGCCUCAACGCCGACGAGUUCGACGACGAUGCCGAGGCGGAACCCAUGGUUGGCUUGUUCGGUAGAUCGAUUAGGGGUCUCGCGGAGGUUAAUUUCACUGCGGUUUCUGGUGGUUUGAGUGUAUUUUUGUUUGUUUGUUUUCAAGAAGAGAGGAGGAGGGGAAGGCCAUCGUCAUUGCUGGAUCUGGUCUCUCCUUGCUCAGCGGUAGCGGCAACGUCCUCCCCUUUGUCCUGGCCUCCCCAUCCUCCUCCCAAAAAAUCCCCCACUGCUGGCUUCAUCGGUGACGGCGAUGACGCACAGUAGCUCCCGCGUCGCCCACUCCGCUAGAUAUGGAGGCACCUCGUCCUCUUCUUCGUCUCAGCGCCAGGCAGUCCCCUCGUCCUCGGCACCAUCGUCGACACCAAAGGAACAAUGACGAGGCCUCUGGGUGGAGACGAGGAUCUCGGUGGCGAUGCGGCCGGAGGCAAUACAACGUUCCCACUGUUAGCAUGACAUUGAAGUGUGGUUGAUUAGGCGAAGGAAGAUAUAUUUUGGUUGGAGGAUUGCAGGGAUGUAAGCGGUUUGAAUAACAUUUGGGGCUAAUCUGAGAAAGAGGUUCCAGUGUUUCCUCUGCGAAAGUUGUUGCGAAAAGCAGCUGGACAAGACAAUUAUGAGGUAAUAAAGACUAUUCAUUUCUUUGAUUGUUGGGGGUGCGCUUCAGACCUGUGGUCAUGCCGCCGGCAACCGCAUUAAUUCAGCUAAGAUGCGGUUCUUGAUUUGUUGGCGAAAACCCAGAUUCUGGGAAAUCAUUGAGCUGACCUGGAGUUCUUGUUCAGUGUUUUGCUCUUCGACUAAGAAUCUGGAUAUGGCGAGCUUUCAGCAGGAAACAAAGGCCAGGAAUGAUCAAGGGCCUGUUGCUGAUCACGUUAGGCAUCAGAACCAUGGAAAACCUCACAGAUCAUCCAGAAAAAACUCUCAGAAUGCAAAGGAUCUAGGAUUUUCUCCAUCGAGUUUGUUGCCCUGAUUGCAUUUUGCCCCUUUAGUUCAGAGUUGUUCAUUCUCUCGUGAGUAUGCUUGAGAAACCAGUCUGUUGGUCAUUCUCUCGUGAGUAUGCUUGAGAAUCCCGUCUAUUUUUUUAUGUGUUCCUGCUAGAACCUGAGUUGUGUGGCUGCCUUCUCAUCUCAACCCAUAGAAGCUAUUUCUGAUUUUUUUUUUUUUGGCCUGCUUGUUUUGGGGGCUGACAUGCAUAGCAUCAGUAAUACCUUCUUAACAUAAGCUGCGCCUACUAUUUUACUAUCCUCUUUUAUGUUUAAGAUGGUUGCCAGUUCAAUAACACAUCUGCAUCCAUAGCGAUUCCAUCAUGUUGCUUCGUUUGUCCAUGCAGGGAAAGGAGACCGCACAAAGCAUCCGUUAAUUUAUCCAUUCAGAAUAAGAUACCAAGGAAACCCACUAAAAUGAUAGUUGGCAACAACCUAGCAAGAAGAACCUAAGGUGGUUCUUUUUAUUUUUCCAACAUAUUAUGUCUGCUUUUGAUUUGGGUUUAAUAGUUUUUGUUGGUGACCAUAGUAUUGCGUUUUCUUAAAAUAAGCUCUCACGUUAGUAGGUGGCUAUGAGCUACCAUGAGGUGGUCACUGUUCUUUGCUCCUGAUUAAAUGCAAGUGUUGCUUGUGCAGGUGAUGGAAAAAGCAACAAGUACUUAGCGUUUGUCAUUCUCUCCAGCAGGCCCAGCAAAUAUGAUAUAAGAUAAUGUUAGUCAUGGUCCCUCAUCUUGAAAAGGUCGCUGCUGACAUUCCUCAAACAAAUAUAUGAGCCUGUAUAUACCGUACUAUUUAAUGGUCGUCUCAAAUGAUAAAUAUAUGAAAGUAUUAUAUGUUUACCGUGUAUUAUGCAAGAGUACAUGAGCUUGUCAGGUUG
Oryza sativa Japonica Group (Japanese rice) is the source of this 2108-nucleotide non-coding RNA. Lineage: Eukaryota; Viridiplantae; Streptophyta; Magnoliopsida; Poales; Poaceae. The record is from RefSeq and is a predicted model, not a curated record.